Long non-coding RNA from Asparagus officinalis (garden asparagus), 764 nucleotides. RefSeq lists it as uncharacterized. NCBI's taxonomy places the organism in Eukaryota, Viridiplantae, Streptophyta, Magnoliopsida, Asparagales, Asparagaceae. The transcript is spliced from 7 exons. The record is from RefSeq and is a predicted model, not a curated record.
AGUAGAAAUUAUAUGCGAAAAAGUCCAUUAAAGAUCACUCUUCUCCAUUCUCAAACACAUCGUCCUCUUCUUCCCCCAAAUUGAGGAGAGAGAAACCCUAGGCGAUGGCAAUGGCCAGCUUGGCGAGGCGCAAAGCCUGCAAUCUCCUGUGCCCUAACUCAAAGAUCCUGAUAUGCAGAAGCAGAUCGAGAAUACCCUUUCCAUUGGACACAUAUCUUAUGAAGUUCAUUUAUCUGCCUAAUAUCCAGACAUAUGGGAGCAAGCUGUUUUGGCAAUUAAGAGGGAAGGCUACAGUAUAAAGUGCAAUGGCCCGCGUGGAGUUGUUGUUGCAGAGAAGUUCCAAUCAACUACUACUAUUACAAUUCCUUAUGGCCAUCCCAUGGAGUUCUCAAUUCAAUGUGCUAAUGGUGAUGAGUAUCUCUUAAGGGAAAAAGAUAGUAGCUACUAGCUGGUUUCGGGAUACCAUUGUGCUUACUAUGAGAUUAUUCAAGAAGAUGGCAAUAGAAAAGAGGAAAGGGAGAAAAAAGGGCCUCUUCUUCAAAUCCUAGUCCUUGCCAUUACGAAGGAUGGUGAUGUUUUCCUUGUUGCUUAAUCCAUGGACUGACUGGAUCUGCUGAUAGUUGUCUGAGCUCAUUCAAAUUGAUUGCAUGAUUUAUCAUUUGUGAAGGGGUCGGGAUAAACUUGCCUAAUGCCUCAUUGUAUUAUUAGUAGUGCAACGACACGAUUUUAACUCGAAUGGUUUCCAGAUUAUGUUUCUUUUCUUC